AAUCUGCAGAUCAAGACCAAUAAACGCGGAAACAAAUACUAUUACUAUUUUUAUUGAACAUUGAACAUCAUUUCGUGAAAUUUCAGGGACAGUGGGUUUUUUUAAUGUUGUUUUACGUAUUCGUCCAUUCUUUCAUUCCCGCUUUUCGAUAGGAUUUUUCGGAUUAUUGACAUUUGCCUCGUGCAAUACAACUUUGUUGGAUUGGCAACACUGACUCAGACACACAGUGAGUUUUUUCUACCAAAAAAACAAAACGAUAUAAAAUAAUUAUGUUUUGAAUGUUCAGAUAUGGUUUUUUGUUAACAAAAAAAAAAGAUACGUGAACUCUGAGUGCAUUGUAAUAACUAAUCAUCUAUUGGAGCUUUGCCACUAAAAAUGAGAUUUUCAGAAAAUACCUGAAAUGGAUACAAAGCCCCUUCCACCCUCAAAAGUGGAUACAGUUACUAAUCUGGGUGAUAACGAUGAACCUUAUCCAAGUUUGUCAGACUGCCAUGACUAUGAACCUAAUCUCGAGUUUGACGACUCUGAACUUCUUCAAAGUCCGGAAGACAUCGAGCAAACAGGUAAUAAAUUAUUUCAAUAUUCAGCAUAGUGAUUACUUGAUUAAGUAGUUUAGUGAUCCAGUAUUUUUUCUGAAGAAAGGUUGGUUGGGUACCAGGAUCAAUUUUCC
Leptinotarsa decemlineata (Colorado potato beetle) is the source of this 670-nucleotide long non-coding RNA. NCBI's taxonomy places the organism in Eukaryota, Metazoa, Arthropoda, Insecta, Coleoptera, Chrysomelidae. The record is from RefSeq and is a predicted model, not a curated record.